GGAUGUGGAGAUGAUAUGGUUGGGACAUCUGCCACCCUAUUGAUCACCAGAGUUGAUUUUGCUGAUGUGGCUGGCUCAGAAGGUUCCCCUUCUCUCCCUUGCCACUCCAUAUAUGUCCCUCCCGAAGCUGUGUGCUCCAUGAAAAAGGGCAACCAACCUUCCCCAAAUAGAGGCAGGUCUGUGUUUGGUGAAUAUCAGCUGUGUUCUGCUAGAGCCUCCAAAUUAGCUGUCAAGGGAAGGAUGCAAGGAAGCAGUGAUCUCAUGGCCUACAUGACAGGCUCUUGCACGAAGGGGAAAGAGAAGAGCUAUGAGCCAUUGAAU
Erinaceus europaeus (western European hedgehog) is the source of this 321-nucleotide unclassified non-coding RNA. Its record names the gene 7SK. It matches the Rfam family "7SK RNA". Rfam says of the family: 7SK was discovered as an abundant small nuclear RNA in the mid-70s but a possible function has only recently been suggested. Two independent studies have found that 7SK RNA binds the CDK9/cyclin T complex (known as elongation factor P-TEFb). The record is from Ensembl. NCBI's taxonomy places the organism in Eukaryota, Metazoa, Chordata, Mammalia, Eulipotyphla, Erinaceidae.